GCUGCUGUAGCUCAGUGGUAGAGCGUGGGAUUGCAGUCUAACCGCAAUCUAUCCUAAGGUCCGUCGUUCGAUCCGGCGUAGCAGCU
Molecule: non-coding RNA, 86 nt
Organism: Delphinella strobiligena
Lineage: Eukaryota; Fungi; Ascomycota; Dothideomycetes; Dothideales; Dothioraceae
Source: the annotation of a GenBank genome assembly